This 79-nucleotide small RNA is filed under the name Bombyx mori (domestic silkworm). RNAcentral's name for it is "Bm_166". The record is from RNAcentral. Lineage: Eukaryota; Metazoa; Arthropoda; Insecta; Lepidoptera; Bombycidae.
AACGAACAAACAAACAAGAUAUUAGAUAAUCGGCUAAUAUCGCCAAUUUUUUGGUGCCUGCUGUAAUGCGAGGCGUGUU